RNAcentral lists this ribosomal RNA (433 nucleotides) under uncultured bacterium. RNAcentral describes it as "partial 16S ribosomal RNA". It matches the Rfam family "Bacterial small subunit ribosomal RNA", at positions 29 to 507 of the family's 1533-position model. The record is from RNAcentral.
AACGAACGCUGGCGGCAGGCCUAACACAUGCAAGUCGAGCGAGGACUUCGGUUCUAGCGGCGGACGGGUGAGUAACGCGUGGGAAUGUGCCCUUCUCUACGGAAUAGCCCUGGGAAACUGGGAGUAAUACCGUAUACGCCCUUUUGGGGAAAGAUUUAUCGGAGAAGGAUCAGCCCGCGUUGGAUUAGGUAGUUGGUGGGGUAAUGGCCUACCAAGCCGACGAUCCAUAGCUGGUUUGAGAGGAUGAUCAGCCACACUGGGACUGAGACACGGCCCAGACUCCUACGGGAGGCAGCAGUGGGGAAUCUUAGACAAUGGGGGCAACCCUGAUCUAGCCAUGCCGCGUGAGUGACGAAGGCCUUAGGGUUGUAAAGCUCUUUCAGCUGGGAAGAUAAUGACGGUACCAGCAGAAGAAGCCCCGGCUAACUCCGUG